This 159-nucleotide ribosomal RNA is filed under the name Ilex vomitoria. Its description in RNAcentral is "5.8S ribosomal RNA". It matches the Rfam family "5.8S ribosomal RNA". From Rfam's summary of the family: 5.8S ribosomal RNA (5.8S rRNA) is a component of the large subunit of the eukaryotic ribosome. It is transcribed by RNA polymerase I as part of the 45S precursor that also contains 18S and 28S rRNA. RNAcentral also lists the same sequence under 7 other names. The record is from RNAcentral. Lineage: Eukaryota; Viridiplantae; Streptophyta; Magnoliopsida; Aquifoliales; Aquifoliaceae.
CGACUCUCGGCAACGGAUAUCUCGGCUCUCGCAUCGAUGAAGAACGUAGCGAAAUGCGAUACUUGGUGUGAAUUGCAGAAUCCCGUGAACCAUCGAGUUUUUGAACGCAAGUUGCGCCCAAAGCCAUUAGGCUAAGGGCACGUCUGCCUGGGCGUCACG